GGAAGUAAAAGUCGUAACAGGGUCUCCGUAGGUGAACCUGCGGAGGGAUCAUUACCGAGCUCAUGCCCUUACGGGUAGAUCUCCCACCCUGUGUUAUUAUUACCUUUGUUGCUUUGGCGGGCCGCCAGGCUCCGGUCAGGCUAUCGGCUUCGGCUGGUAAGCGCCCGCCAGAGGACCCUAUAUCCUGAUUAUUAGUGUCGUCUGAGUACUAUAUAAUAGUUAAAACUUUCAACAACGGAUCUCUUGGUUCUG
Molecule: unclassified non-coding RNA, 252 nt
Filed under: plant metagenome
Description: partial contains small subunit ribosomal RNA, internal transcribed spacer 1, and 5.8S ribosomal RNA
Rfam family: Eukaryotic small subunit ribosomal RNA (bases 1-54)
Source: RNAcentral